GACGAACGCUGGCGGCGUGCUUAACACAUGCAAGUCGAACGGAAAGGCCCUGCUUUUGUGGGGUGCUCGAGUGGCGAACGGGUGAGUAACACGUGAGUAACCUGCCCUUGACUUUGGGAUAACUUCAGGAAACUGGGGCUAAUACCGGAUAGGAGCUCCUGCUGCAUGGUGGGGGUUGGAAAGUUUCGGCGGUUGGGGAUGGACUCGCGGCUUAUCAGCUUGUUGGUGGGGUAGUGGCUUACCAAGGCUUUGCCGGGUAGCCGGCCUGAGAGGGUGACCGGCCACAUGGGGACGGAGAUACGGCCCAGACUCCUACGGGAGGCAGCAGUGGGGAAUAUUGCACAAUGGGCGGAAGCCUGAUGCAGCAACGCCGCGUGCGGGAUGACGGCCUUCGGGUUGUAAACCGCUUUCGCCUGUGACGAAGCGUGAGUGACGGGAAUGGGUAAAGAAGCACCGGCUAACUACGU
This 467-nucleotide ribosomal RNA is filed under the name uncultured bacterium. RNAcentral's name for it is "partial 16S ribosomal RNA". It matches the Rfam family "Bacterial small subunit ribosomal RNA", at positions 28 to 506 of the family's 1533-position model. The record is from RNAcentral.